GAAUUUUAAUGAAAAGUGUUUUAACCAAAAAAUGACACACCCCGACCUAGAUCGAGGCAUGCUAGCCGUCACAUGGGAGUGACGUAACCAUGUGCACAAUGUGGAAGCAAUAAGGAUAUACGAGAAUUUCAAAGGAAAAAAAACCAAACUACUAGCAGAACUAGCUAAGAUAAAGUGCUAGUGCGAGAUUAAGGGUGAAAUACACAAUCAGAGCAUAAAUAUUCUAGAUGCAGUCAAGUAGGACAGUGCUAAUUAUACAACACCCAAUGGUGAUCCUACAUUUAUGAUGUUUUGUCAGAACCCCCAUCGAAAUCCUCAUGAUCCACCAAAGCACUUCUACCUAAAACCUGGAGGGGCGCAAAACAUAAAGUGUGAGUGGGCAAAAACAAAACUUUUCAAAAUCAUUUCAUUUCUCAUAAAAUUCUAACCCCUCGCCGUAAAACCUGUAUAAUUUCCCAGAAAAUAAUCAUAAUAACAAGUUGAAUCAGAAAUCAUACUCAAGAUGAAAAUCCAUAGAAGUAUACCAUGCCAAAGUAUCUCAAUGCAAUGCUAUAAGUAAUCCAGGCAAAAUAUAUCAAUGUCAAAUAUCGCAUCAGCCAAAUCCCUUUAACCCAAUCUGCACGGCUGAGUAUAUAUCUCACAACCAAUCUCAAUCAUAUCAAAUCAAAUCCUGCACACGAGUCGGAACCACCUAAAGUGGUCUGUACGACAAGACUAGGUGUAAAGUAAAUAUGCUCUAGUGCUACGAUCACGUGAAGGCUGUGUGAAUAAUUGCAGGUCACCUACGAGUUGGAACCACCUAAGGUGGUAUGUACGACAAGUCUGUGCACCUAACUUGGAUCCAAGAUGAGCAUAUGGUGCGGGAGGUGAACAUCACGUGAAGGAUUGUGCCCUAACUCUGGGUGGGAGCACUACCACCGAGAUGCAGGUUUAUGAGCUUUCAAUACAUCAUAUCAUGUCUCGAAUAAUUGAAGCAAUCUCAUAUCUUUAAUUUAUGAACUUACCUGGCACUUACUUGUGCGUCCGCAUCACCAAUCAUAAAUAUAUGCAACUACUAAUGCGUAUUAAAAUAGACAGAUACUUUGCAUGGUAAUUCAAAACGUAAUUUCAUUCAAAUUCAUUUUCUGGGAAAAAUCAAGUAUAUAGGUAUAUACGGAAAACCAAAAGCCCACUCACUGAUAUGUCGAAGGGUCGUAGCCCUUGAGCCUCAAUUGAUGGCGCUCGCCUUAGGAUAAGUCUCACCUAUAUGCAAAAUAACUGAAUAAACAUUAUUUGAAGCACAUACACAAAACUAGGAAAUAACUUCUCAUACAUUGCUCAAAUGGGGUUUUUGAAUAUAUCACCAUGAUCUACUCAACCUCAGGAACAUCCCCAAAUUUUAGAAAAAUUUUCCGACCACCCACGCGCUGCCAUGCGCCGGCCAAGGCACGGCCAGACGCGCCCCUAUGCGCGGCCAAACCCUAACUGAAACUUAAGUGCCGUUAGGAAUAUUCCGUUAAAACCUUAACAGAAAUUAACAGCGUUACCUGACGUCGUUAGAAUAUUCCGUCAAAUAUUCCCCUUCUUCUUCCUUGGAUCGCCGUAAAUCGUCGCUGGUGUCGGUUUCUGGAAAAAUUAUCAAACCUUCAUAUCUUUGUUGAUUUUCAACCAAAAUUCACAAAAUCUAUACCAAAUUAAAGCUUAGGAUGAGAGGAACAAAACCUUACCACUUUGGGGACCUAAGACCAACGAAAUCUCGCUGGAGAAACUUCGAUAAUCCGACCAAACUUGAAACUUAUCGAACUCAACUUCCUGACGUCCAAAACACUUCGUUUUUCUUCUCCGAGCUUCGUAAAGACGUCCUAAAGCUCACUAGCAGCUUAAAAUCUCCUAAAAACUUUAGAAUCAAGAGUGCAUGAACACUAACCCAAAACUGGGUUCUCGGGAAAAUGAGGUCUUCACGCCCAAAUAAUAGUAUCAAUAGGUU
Molecule: long non-coding RNA, 1966 nt
Filed under: Malus domestica (apple)
Lineage: Eukaryota; Viridiplantae; Streptophyta; Magnoliopsida; Rosales; Rosaceae
Description: long non-coding RNA (MDOM_LNC013561)
Source: RNAcentral